UCGAGCGGUACAGAGAAUAGCUUGCUAUUCUGCUGACGAGCGGCGGACGGGUGAGUAACGCGUAGGAAUCUGCCCGGUAGCGGGGGAUAGCCCAGAGAAAUUUGGAUUAAUACCGCAUACGCCCUACGGGGGAAAGGAGGGGACUCUUCGGAGCCUUCCACUAUCGGAUGAGCCUGCGUGAGAUUAGCUAGUUGGCGGGGUAAAGGCCCACCAAGGCGACGAUCUCUAGCUGGUCUGAGAGGAUGAUCAGCCACACCGGAACUGAGACACGGUCCGGACUCCUACGGGAGGCAGCAGUGGGGAAUAUUGCACAAUGGGCGAAAGCCUGAUGCAGCCAUGCCGCGUGUGUGAAGAAGGCCUUAGGGUUGUAAAGCACUUUCAGCGAGGAGGAAAGCUUGUGAGUUAAUACCUCUCAAGUGUGACGUUACUCGCAGAAGAAGCACCGGCUAACUCCGUGCCAGCAGCCGCGGUAAUACGGAGGG
RNAcentral lists this ribosomal RNA (482 nucleotides) under marine sediment bacterium BB0608_2216_1.1_2G0. Its description in RNAcentral is "bacterial SSU rRNA". It matches the Rfam family "Bacterial small subunit ribosomal RNA", at positions 62 to 532 of the family's 1533-position model. The record is from RNAcentral.